GCAACCAGAGAUUCGAGAAUCCAUGGUGGCAACAUCGAACGUCAUGAUUGCUAACCAACUUAGACUAGCCACAUUGACAAGGUUGUCUAACGUUAUCGGAAAAGGGGUGCAAGUUGAUGAUACGAAUUGAAAAUAGCUUUUAAACAAACUUGCCAACGUGUCUUCUUGCCUAACUGUGCUAGUUAAUGAACACAUAUGAUUACGGUGUUGGGCGAGGUACUUCAGUACUGGUCUAAGAUGCUGCCCAGGUGUUUGUACGCCUAACGUUAACCAUCCAGUUUAUUAGCCCAGAUGAUCACAACUUUUCUAUCCUCAUUUUUUGGCUGAGUUAGUAAUUAAUUAAUUUACUUAAUAGCAAUUAUUCAUAAUGCAGCUUUUUCGGAGUGCUAUUCCAUUCAGACGUUUUUAUUCUGAUGGAGAACCCGCACCACCAGCCAGCAGCACACCUGUCAUCAGACCUCCUCCAGAUGGUGGCUGGGGUUGGGUGAUUGUAUUUUCAUCUUUUCUAUAUAACGUGUUGGUCUUGGGCUAUCAUAACUCAUUUGGAGUGUACCUUAUCAGUCUUCUUGACACAUUUGGAGAGACGAGCCAAAAGACAGCCUGGGUCGGAUCUAUCAGCUAUGGUUUCAUCAUGAUCUGUGGCCCAUUAUCAGGGAAGCUAACUGUGAAGUAUGGUGCCAGAGAAAUCUCCAUUAUUGGAUCCAUUAUCAUCAUGAUCUCCAUCAUAUGCUCUUCUUAUGCCUCUUCCCUGGGUGUCCUGUUCUUCACGCAUGGCUUUCUCACAGGAGUGGGUUCAAGCUUCGCUUUCACUCCAGGCAUGAUCAUGAUAAGCCAGUACUUCACGACCAAUCGAGCUCUGGCCACCGGGAUAGUGAUGUCUGGGGGUGCAGCAGGUGCUCUGGUCCA
Alosa alosa (allis shad) is the source of this 906-nucleotide long non-coding RNA. RefSeq lists it as uncharacterized. The record is from RefSeq and is a predicted model, not a curated record. NCBI's taxonomy places the organism in Eukaryota, Metazoa, Chordata, Actinopteri, Clupeiformes, Clupeidae. The transcript is spliced from 3 exons.